RNAcentral lists this transfer RNA (84 nucleotides) under Candidatus Omnitrophota bacterium. RNAcentral's name for it is "tRNA-Tyr". It matches the Rfam family "tRNA". From Rfam's summary of the family: Transfer RNA (tRNA) molecules are approximately 80 nucleotides in length. Their secondary structure includes four short double-helical elements and three loops (D, anti-codon, and T loops). Further hydrogen bonds mediate the characteristic L-shaped molecular structure. tRNAs have two regions of fundamental functional importance: the anti-codon, which is responsible for specific mRNA codon recognition, and the 3' end, to which the tRNAs corresponding amino acid is attached (by aminoacyl-tRNA synthetases). tRNAs cope with the degeneracy of the genetic code in two manners: having more than one tRNA (with a specific anti-codon) for a particular amino acid; and 'wobble' base-pairing, i.e. permitting non-standard base-pairing at the 3rd anti-codon position. The record is from RNAcentral. Lineage: Bacteria; Pseudomonadati; Candidatus Omnitrophota.
CCAGGGGUGGCAGAGUGGUCAAUUGCAACAGUCUGUAAAACUGUCGCCUUUACGGCUGCGGAGGUUCGAAUCCUCCCCCCUGGA